This 492-nucleotide ribosomal RNA is filed under the name uncultured bacterium. RNAcentral's name for it is "partial 16S ribosomal RNA". It matches the Rfam family "Bacterial small subunit ribosomal RNA", at positions 29 to 507 of the family's 1533-position model. The record is from RNAcentral.
AGUGAACGCUGGCGGUAGGCCUAACACAUGCAAGUCGAACGGCAGCACAGUAAGAGCUUGCUCUUACGGGUGGCGAGUGGCGGACGGGUGAGGAAUACAUCGGAAUCUACUUUUUCGUGGGGGAUAACGUAGGGAAACUUACGCUAAUACCGCAUACGACCUACGGGUGAAAGCAGGGGAUCUUCGGACCUUGCGCGAUUGAAUGAGCCGAUGUCGGAUUAGCUAGUUGGCGGGGUAAAGGCCCACCAAGGCGACGAUCCGUAGCUGGUCUGAGAGGAUGAUCAGCCACACUGGAACUGAGACACGGUCCAGACUCCUACGGGAGGCAGCAGUGGGGAAUAUUGGACAAUGGGCGCAAGCCUGAUCCAGCAAUACCGCGUGAGUGAAGAAGGCCUUCGGGUUGUAAAGCCCUUUUGUUGGGAAAGAAAAGCAGCAGGUUAAUCCCCCGCUGUUCUGACGGUACCCAAAGAAUAAGCACCGGCUAACUUCGUG